RNAcentral lists this Y RNA (103 nucleotides) under Prolemur simus (greater bamboo lemur). RNAcentral's name for it is "Y RNA (ENSPSMG00000013837.1)". It matches the Rfam family "Y RNA". From Rfam's summary of the family: Y RNAs are components of the Ro ribonucleoprotein particle (Ro RNP), in association with Ro60 and La proteins. Lineage: Eukaryota; Metazoa; Chordata; Mammalia; Primates; Lemuridae. The record is from Rfam by way of RNAcentral.
GUUUGGUCUUGAGUGCAGUGGUGUUUACAACUAAUUGAUCACAACCAGUUACAGAUUCCUUUGUUCCUUCUCCACUCCCACUGCUUCACUUGACUAGCCUGAA